Sus scrofa (pig) is the source of this 661-nucleotide non-coding RNA. NCBI's taxonomy places the organism in Eukaryota, Metazoa, Chordata, Mammalia, Artiodactyla, Suidae. The record is from RefSeq and is a predicted model, not a curated record.
AUGCCUGAGAUAAACAGAGACCACCUGGAUGCAAAGCAGGUGCAGCUGCUGAUGGAGAUGUGCAUCCUCAUGGACAAGAAAGAUUGCAGGAUCAGGGUGGAGAUCAAGAACUGUCACCUGAAGGAGAACAUUGAGAAAGGAUAACUGCAUCAGGGUUUUAGUGUCUUCCUAUUACUCAACAUUGAAAAUGAACUUGUGCUACAAUAGCGAUCAGAUUCUAAAAUUAUUUUUCCAUACUGUUUCACUGAUACUUGUUUUAGUCAUCCAUUAAGUAUCCCAAAAGAGCAUGAAAAAAAUGACACAACUGAAGUUAGAAGAGCAGCACAGAGGCCUGAACUGGGAAUUCCUGUGGAAGAGGUUCUUCCAGAAGAAAGUAAUUACCUGACACAAAUGCACUUUAAGGAUCAAUCUGAUGAUAUCUGGGGAGAACAUGAAAUUGGUGAGGAAAGAAUGUAACCUUGAAUCCAGAGCCCAUUGAGACUAAAGCUAUCAUUAUGUAUCAAAGGAAGAACUAAAGGAACUUCUGAAAAAGGCAGCCACUGGUGAAAUUAAGAUAACCCUGUGGCUUCAAAUAAUUGCAGAGACCUUUCUCUUUCAAUGGUGGGAUAAGUUAAGUCAUUUGAAUCAGUUUAUUGACCACAAGAAAAUACAAAGAAUGUAA